GGGGGGGGGGGGGGGGGGGUGGGGGGGGGGGGGGGGGCGGGGAGGGGCCUUUGGGGGUGCUCGAGUGGCGAGGGGGUGAGUAAGACGUGAGUAACCUGCCCUUGCCUUCGGGAUAGCUUGAGGAAACUGGGGGUAAUACCGGAUAGGACUCCUUGCUGCCUGGUGGGGGUUGGAAAGCUGCGGCGGUUUUGGAUGGACUCGCGGCUUAUCAGCUUGUUGGUGGGGUAGUGGCUUACCAAGGCUUUGACGGGUAGCCGGCCUGAGAGGGCGACCGGCCACAUUGGGACUGAGAUACGGCCCAGACUCCUACGGGAGGCAGCAGUGGGGAAUAUUGCACAAUGGGCGGAAGCCUGAUGCAGCAACGCCGCGUGCGGGAUGACGGCCUUCGGGCUGUAAACCGCUUUCAGCAGGGGCGAAGCUUGUGGUGACGGUACCUGCAGAAGAAGCACCGGCUAACUACGUG
RNAcentral lists this ribosomal RNA (463 nucleotides) under uncultured bacterium. RNAcentral describes it as "partial 16S ribosomal RNA". It matches the Rfam family "Bacterial small subunit ribosomal RNA", at positions 39 to 507 of the family's 1533-position model. The record is from RNAcentral.